CUAGCGACUGCAUAAAACUAAUUUUAUAAAAAUGUGUUUAAUAUAGAUAUUAUUUUUAGCACAUAUUUUGUUUUUGCUAAAAUCCCUUAAAAGUGGUUAUUGUAAUAUUUGUCUUGGGAUCCACCCUUGAGUUUCUACUACAUUGGAUCAUCCAUCUUACUGAGCAAAUCAGCGGGACCCAGAAGACAGCACGACAUAUAAAAAACAGAAAAGCAGAGUGGACUAGCGUUAUGUCUGAACCCUCUAUGGGAGCUUCCACCUGGUUUGUAUCAUGAUGAGAAAAUAAUCUUGUCCUUAACUCCACAUAAGAUAGAGUUAUAGCGUUUGAUCAAUUUAUUAAAUUUAGGUGAACUACUUAAAAGGUCCUUCAGACCAAAACAUUGUUUAAAAUUCCUGCAGCCAGUUCAAUUCUACAUGGAGACAGAAAGUGUUGCAAAAUAUAACAUGCAGCUCUGAGUUUUUUAAAUUAUGCACUGUUGAUAAGAAAAAAAUAUCACAAGCAAUCACAAAUGUACUACUAAUUAGUUAGCCAUUUUAUCUUUCUGUGCAUGUAAGAUAAAGAAAAACAAAGUAUUGACACUUAUGGAUGACGAGCUGUCAGUCAAAGGCUUCCUGACACUACUUCCUGUGUGAUCGUGUCUGCAAGACCCAAUCAGGAGGAGGCUUAGAGAAGAGGGUUUGUCUCCGCCCAACCUGUCAAAACACAUUUCCUUUCGCACAAGGAGAAAAUGAGUCCGAGCGCAGAGACGCUUUAGAGGGCGCAACCGUCCUCCAGCACGGCCGCUAGAUAGCAAAUCAUGCGCGCGGUGAGAUCCAGAGCGCGCGCGGGAGGAGCUGGCGUGCGCAGAGAGCGAUUUUCUCCUCUCGAAGCAGCAGUUUCUCGUGCGGCGGUAGAUAAACCAUGCGCAGAAGUAGUUUAACAUACAUGUGAAUAUGUUUAUUUUGCUCGCGGAAGGUUUGACAUAAAUGUGACGCCAUAACCAGUACCCUGCUGCAGUCCUCGGACCUGAUGGCAUCCCAGGCUGGGAUAAGGUGCAGGAUUUGACCGAGUACUUGGUGUCCCUGCGUCAGGCUCUCUACCUGGACGAGCAGCAGGUCAAAGGUCAUUCGCCCCUGGACCACUCUUCCUGAUGGAGACCAGAGGAUUUAUUAUGAGCCCAAACACCAAGCCAAGCUGGCCCACGGCCGCUUUAAGGCCCCUAAGAACACGGGCGUCACAACGGCUGUGGAAAGCGUGAAGAGGAGCCUGAUUGGUCCUCCUGGGGGACCGGCUCAUUGGCUCUGAGAUGUUUGUACUAUGUCUGCUCUGGUCAGCCAAAGUAGCAGAGUGUGAGAAGAAGGCAGACAGAAUAAGAAGGACACAGGAGCUGAGGGCAGACAGGGGGCCAGGCUGCAGCCUAGCCAGGGGUGUGAUUACUUUGUCUCUGCUCUGGUUCUCAAUAAAAUGCUGAAACUCAAUGGAA
Fundulus heteroclitus (mummichog) is the source of this 1463-nucleotide long non-coding RNA. RefSeq lists it as uncharacterized. The record is from RefSeq and is a predicted model, not a curated record. The transcript has 2 exons. Lineage: Eukaryota; Metazoa; Chordata; Actinopteri; Cyprinodontiformes; Fundulidae.